RNAcentral lists this long non-coding RNA (1390 nucleotides) under Homo sapiens (human). Its description in RNAcentral is "HSALNT0190141". Lineage: Eukaryota; Metazoa; Chordata; Mammalia; Primates; Hominidae. The record is from RNAcentral.
CCACUGUGCAGAAGGGCAAAGCUCUUUUGCCUUCUUGAUAUGUAAGGCAAUGAAAAAUAUAUUGAUCCAGUUUAUUCUAUUGAUUUGGAGAUGCCUUUUUAUGAGGGGAGAGAAGCAGCUUUUCUUGACCGGAGAUGAGACUGACCCUACUGUUAUAUUAAAAGCAUCUUUCUCCAAGGUGAAUACCUGUCACUGACCUGGCAGCAGGGAUAGCUCUCUAACUCAAGAGGAUGACGGACAAUUGAGCUUUAGGCAGUCAUUGAAAGACUUGAUAUUUUUCAAAUAGCUUGGUAGAGGGAGUAAUUAAGAAUGAAGAUGUCCGUAAGAAACCCUGGCUGUCAUUCAUUCCAGUCUCAGGACAUGUACAGUGCUAGGUCAGAGCGUGCUGUUUGAUUACCCUGUAUCCAUUGCCCAUCCUGCUUUACUCAUUAAUUUUUUUUAGGGCAUCAAUAUGCCUAGCUGAAAACAACAACAACCUACAUUCCCAAAUCUCUCUUGACCUAGAGGAGGUCAUGUGAUAAAAUUUUGGCCAAUAAUGCAUAAACUACAGUGUUUGGUUUCUGAAAACAGUUGUUUUUCUGCUACAGAUGCUGUGCUUUUUUGGCUUUUCCAUUCUCUCCUUCAUGCCUACAAUGUGGACAUGAUAUUUGGAUGCUAGGGAUAAUGAGUAAAAGGCCACACAGAGACAGUGUCCCUGAAAUCUUUGAGCUGCUGUGCUAGUGACAGCAGCUGCUAUCCUCAGACUUUGUAAUUUAUAAUAAACUUACAUGUCUAAACCAUGGAAAACAGAUCUCUCUUACUUGCAGACAAACCCAAUUCUUAACUGCCACAAAUGCCUUCAGGGACGAAAGAGAAAUCUGGCAGAAGAUCCAUCUUGGGCAUGGGAGUCCCAGAGCAUUCCUCCAGGACAUGACUGUGCAGAGGUUUGUCUGCUGACCUUGGAAGCCUUUGCUCAGGAAGUACAGGAACAGUGAGAGUGCAUUAUGCAGGCCAACUGGCACAGUCUGUCCAUGUGUUCACAAUAUGCCUUGAACAUUGUCCCUUUCUCUAUUUAAACCUAAUUGUAUGUCCCCCUGAGAACUAGUUUUGUUUAAAUUAUAGCUGACUGUUCUAGAUCUAUUAAAUAGUGAUAUUAUGUCUAAUGGACCUUGACUUUACUCUUUUUCUUAUUAUAUGCGAACAGGUGGGAGAGAAGGGAUACUGAAUACAAUUAUGCAUUUCAUUACUGUUUAAUUGAUUCAUUCAUCAAAUAAUUAUUUAGUGCCCACUCUAUACCAGGCACUGUGUUAAGUUUUGGGGAUACAGUGAUGAACAUGAUAGAUGGUGUCUCUGUUGUAUGGUCUAGACUUGGGAUAAUAUUUUACCUUAUUAAUUGCUUGCUAUGAGCUGG